UAUGCUUAGCCCUAAACAUUGACAACAACAUACACCUGUUGUCCGCCUGGGAACUACGAGCAUCAGCUUGAAACCCAAAGGACUUGGCGGUGCUUUAGAUCCACCUAGAGGAGCCUGUUCUAGAACCGAUAACCCCCGUUCAACCUCACCCUUCUUUGUUUCCCCCGCCUAUAUACCGCCGUCGUCAGCUUACCCUAUGAAGGUCCUUUAGUAAGCACAAUUGGUACAACCCAAAACGUCAGGUCGAGGUGUAGCGUAUGGAAAGGGAAGAAAUGGGCUACCACGAAUAAUACACUGAAACGUAUAUCUGAAGGAGGAUUUAGCAGUAAGCAGAAAAUAGAGCGUUCUGCUGAAAGGCCCUGAAGCGCGCACACACCGCCCGUCACUCUCCCCAAAUAUACCCUAAAAACUUUACAUCAAAGGGGAGGCAAGUCGUAACAUGGUAAGUGUACCGGAA
RNAcentral lists this ribosomal RNA (457 nucleotides) under Epinephelus marginatus (dusky grouper). RNAcentral describes it as "partial 12S ribosomal RNA". It matches the Rfam family "Bacterial small subunit ribosomal RNA", at positions 791 to 1510 of the family's 1533-position model. The record is from RNAcentral. Lineage: Eukaryota; Metazoa; Chordata; Actinopteri; Perciformes; Serranidae.